UAGGGAAUCUUCCACAAUGGACGCAAGUCUGAUGGAGCAACGCCGCGUGAGUGAAGAAGGUUUUCGGAUCGUAAAGCUCUGUUGUUGGUGAAGAAGGAUAGAGGUAGUAACUGGCCUUUAUUUGACGGUAAUCAACCAGAAAGUCACGGCUAACUACGUGCCAGCAGCCGCGGUAAUACGUAGGUGGCAAGCGUUGUCCGGAUUUAUUGGGCGUAAAGCGAGCGCAGGCGGAAGAAUAAGUCUGAUGUGAAAGCCCUCGGCUUAACCGAGGAACUGCAUCGGAAACUGUUUUUCUUGAGUGCAGAAGAGGAGAGUGGAACUCCAUGUGUAGCGGUGGAAUGCGUAGAUAUAUGGAAGAACACCAGUGGCGAAGGCGGCUCUCUGGUCUGCAACUGACGCUGAGGCUCGAAAGCAUGGGUAGCGAACAGGAUUAGAUACCCUGGUAGUCCAUGCCGUAAACGAUGAGUGCUAAGUGUUGGGAGGUUUCCGCCUCUCAGUGCUGCAGCUAACGCAUUAAGCACUCCGCCUGGGGAGUACGACCGCAAGGUUGAAACUCAAAGGAAUUGACGGGGGCCCGCACAAGCGGUGGAGCAUGUGGUUUAAUUCGAAGCAACGCGAAGAACCUUACCAGGUCUUGACAUCUAGUGCCAUUUGUAGAGAUACAAAGUUCCCUUCGGGGACGCUAAGACAGGUGGUGCAUGGCUGUCGUCAGCUCGUGUCGUGAGAUGUUGGGUUAAGUCCCGCAACGAGCGCAACCCUUGUUAUUAGUUGCCAGCAUUAAGUUGGGCACUCUAAUGAGACUGCCGGUGACAAACCGGAGGAAGGUGGGGAUGACGUCAAGUCAUCAUGCCCCUUAUGACCUGGGCUACACACGUGCUACAAUGGACGGUACAACGAGAAGCGACCCUGUGAAGGCAAGCGGAUCUCUGAAAGCCGUUCUCAGUUCGGAUUGCAGGCUGCAACUCGCCUGCAUGAAGCUGGAAUCGCUAGUAAUCGCAAAUCAGCACGUUGCGGUGAAUACGUUCCCGGGCCU
This 1033-nucleotide ribosomal RNA is filed under the name uncultured Lactobacillus sp. RNAcentral describes it as "bacterial SSU rRNA". It matches the Rfam family "Bacterial small subunit ribosomal RNA", at positions 355 to 1381 of the family's 1533-position model. The record is from RNAcentral. Lineage: Bacteria; Bacillati; Bacillota; Bacilli; Lactobacillales; Lactobacillaceae.